GAGCUCAAAUUUAACAUCUGGCCGUCCCUGUGGCUGUCCGAGUUGUAAUCUAGAGAAGUGCUAUCCGCGCUGGACCGUGUACAAGUCUCCUGGAACGGAGCGUCAUAGAGGGUGAGAAUCCCGUCUUUGACACGGACUACCAGGGCUUUUGUGAUGCGCUCUCAAAGAGUCGAGUUGUUUGGGAAUGCAGCUCUAAAUGGGUGGUAAAUUCCAUCUAAAGCUAAAUAUUGGCGAGAGACCGAUAGCGAACAAGUACCGUGAGGGAAAGAUGAAAAGAACUUUGGAAAGAGAGUUAAACAGUACGUGAAAUUGUUGAAAGGGAAACGCUUGAAGUCAGUCGCGUUGGCCAGGGAUCAGCCUUGCUCUUUUGCUUGGUGUACUUCCUGGUUGAUGGGUCAGCAUCUAUUUUGACUGGUGGAUAAAGGUCAGGGGAAUGUGGCAUCUUCGGAUGUGUUAUAGCCCUUGGUUGCAUACAUCGGUUGGGAUUGAGGAACUCAGCACGCCGCAAGGCCGGGUUUUUAACCACGUACGUGCUUAGGAUGCUGGCAUAAUGGCUUUAAUCGACCCGUCUUGAAACACGGACCAAGGAGUCUAACAUGCACGCGAGUGUUUGGGUGGAAAACCCGAGCGCGUAAUGAAAGUGAAAGUUGAGAUCCCUGUCGCGGGGAGCAUCGACGCCCGGACCAGACCUUUUGUGACGGUUCCGCGGUAGAGCGUGUAUGCUGGGACCCGAAAGAUGGUGAACUAUGCCUGAAUAGGGUGAAGCCAGAGGAAACUCUGGUGGAGGCUCGCAGCGAUUCUGACGUGCAAAUCGAUCGUCGAAUAUGGGUAUAGGCGCGAAAGACUACUCGAACCAUCUAGUA
RNAcentral lists this ribosomal RNA (863 nucleotides) under Pseudobaeospora pillodii. Its description in RNAcentral is "partial large subunit ribosomal RNA". It matches the Rfam family "Eukaryotic large subunit ribosomal RNA", at positions 104 to 949 of the family's 3401-position model. Lineage: Eukaryota; Fungi; Basidiomycota; Agaricomycetes; Agaricales; Tricholomataceae. The record is from RNAcentral.